CACUUCCAGUGUAGCAGGUAAAAAUAUUAACUUGUUUUGAGACACCCUGUCUCAAAUUGUUUUCAGUUUGUUUGAUUUCAGUUUAAAAAUACCCUGCCUAAUGGGACAGCCACAGAGCAUGCUCAACUUGCCCAACUCCAUAACUGCCAUAAAUUAUCCGUAUUACACUUGAACAAUGGGAAUGAACCAGAAAGAUCCGUUUUAGGCAUUGGAAUUCCUUACAGCUUUGUUGUUUCCAGUAAAAAAAAACGAACACUUGGAGCAACUUUAGAGCAGGCUCAACUUGGCCUACUGCUCAGUUCACUUGCUCCAGGCAACAGGGCAACCCUUACAGAAUUGAGAAAAUUGUGAGUUUUUGUGCGGGACUGCGGGACUGAAAGGCAAUGAAUGCUGCCACCGGGAGGUGCUUCGCCUCUACUGGACCUAAACGUUUUCUCACAACUUUGACAUUGAGAUCAGGAUAACAAUAGUAAGGACACUGGUGGACUGUCGAGUCGAUUCUCAGACACUGUAGACAUGUCACCUGUGCACCAGGCAUUCUAUGGAGGCUGUCCCCAUGGUAUCAAUGGCAAACAGUGGCUGGAGAGACUGGACAUCAUGCUGCUGAGGCUGAAGACAAGGUUGAGGGACAAUCACACCCUCACCCUCGCAGUCUAGUUGGGGACACAUCCGCACUGGAGGAUGUCCCCCCCAUUAUCAUCAACCAUCACUCCUGUGUUCCAAUGGCACGUUGUGUUAGCUAAUCCAAAUUUACCAUUUUG
Long non-coding RNA from Oncorhynchus gorbuscha (pink salmon), 761 nucleotides. RefSeq lists it as uncharacterized. The record is from RefSeq and is a predicted model, not a curated record. The transcript is spliced from 3 exons. Lineage: Eukaryota; Metazoa; Chordata; Actinopteri; Salmoniformes; Salmonidae.